CACGGGGGGAGCAAGCGUUGUUCGGAAUCACUGGGCGUAAAGAGCGCGCAGGCGGCUUGGCAAGUCGGGUGUGAAAUCCCGGGGCUCAACCCCGUGACUGCAUCCGAUACUGUCAGGCUAGAGGUAGGUAGGGGAGAUCGGAAUUCCUGGUGUAGCGGUGAAAUGCGCAGAUAUCAGGAGGAACACCGGUGGCGAAGGCGGAUCUCUGGGCCUUACCUGACGCUCAGGCGCGAAAGCUAGGGGAGCGAACAGG
This 253-nucleotide ribosomal RNA is filed under the name uncultured bacterium. RNAcentral's name for it is "partial 16S ribosomal RNA". It matches the Rfam family "Bacterial small subunit ribosomal RNA", at positions 524 to 776 of the family's 1533-position model. The record is from RNAcentral.